RNAcentral lists this ribosomal RNA (253 nucleotides) under uncultured bacterium. RNAcentral's name for it is "partial 16S ribosomal RNA". It matches the Rfam family "Bacterial small subunit ribosomal RNA", at positions 524 to 776 of the family's 1533-position model. The record is from RNAcentral.
UACGUAGGGGGCAAGCGUUGUCCGGAAUCAUUGGGCGUAAAGCGCGUGUAGGCGGCCCGGUAAGUCCGCUGUGAAAGUCGGGGGCUCAACCCUCGAAUGCCGGUGGAUACUGUCGGACUAGAGUGCGGGAGAGGCGAGUGGAAUUCCUGGUGUAGCGGUGAAAUGCGCAGAUAUCAGGAGGAACACCAAUUGCGAAGGCAGCUCGCUGGAACGUAACUGACGCUGAGACGCGAAAGCGUGGGGAGCGAACAGG